This 336-nucleotide unclassified non-coding RNA is filed under the name soil metagenome. RNAcentral describes it as "partial contains 5.8S ribosomal RNA, internal transcribed spacer 2, and large subunit ribosomal RNA". The stretch from base 1 to 120 matches the Rfam family "5.8S ribosomal RNA", at positions 35 to 154 of the family's 154-position model. The record is from RNAcentral.
GAUGAAGAACGUAGCGAAAUGCGAUAAGUAAUGUGAAUUGCAGAAUUCAGUGAAUCAUCGAAUCUUUGAGCGCACAUUGCGCCCGCCAGUAUUCUGGCGGGCAUGCCUGUUCGAGCGUCAUUUCAACCAUCAAGCCCCAGGCUUGUGUUGGGGACCUGCGGCUGCCGCAGGCCCUGAAAACCAGUGGCGGGCUCGCUGUCACACCGGGCGUAGUAGAUUUUAUCUCGCUCAGGGCGUGCUGCGGGUUCCGGCCGUUAAAAAGCCUUUUUUACCCAAGGUUGACCUCGGAUCAGGUAGGAAGACCCGCUGAACUUAAGCAUAUCAAUAAGCGGAGGA